CAGUCGCCGCGGUAAUACGUAGGUGGCAAGCGUUGUCCGGAUUUAUUGGGCGUAAAGCGAGCGCAGGCGGUUCCUUAAGUCUGAUGUGAAAGCCCCCGGCUCAACCGGGGAGGGUCAUUGGAAACUGGGGAACUUGAGUGCAGAAGAGGAGAGUGGAAUUCCAUGUGUAGCGGUGAAAUGCGUAGAUAUAUGGAGGAACACCAGUGGCGAAGGCGACUCUCUGGUCUGUAACUGACGCUGAGGCUCGAAAGCGUGGGUAACAAACAGGAUUAGAUACCCCAGUAGUCCCUGUCUCUUAUAC
Molecule: ribosomal RNA, 301 nt
Filed under: uncultured bacterium
Lineage: Bacteria
Description: partial 16S ribosomal RNA
Rfam family: Bacterial small subunit ribosomal RNA
Source: RNAcentral